ACUCCUACGGGAGGCAGCAGUAGGGAAUUUUCCGCAAUGGACGAAAGUCUGACGGAGCAAUGCCGCGUGAGUGAUGAAGGUUUUCGAAUCGUAAAGCUCUGUUGUAAGGGAAGAAUAGCAGUAGUAGGAAAUGACUACUGUGUGACGGUACCUUACCAGAAAGCCACGGCUAACUACGUGCCAGCAGCCGCGGUAAUACGUAGGUGGCAAGCGUUAUCCGGAAUUACUGGGCGUAAAGCGCAUGCAGGUGGUUUGUUAAGUCAGAUGUGAAAGCCCGGGGCUCAACCUCGGAAUAGCAUUUGAAACUGGCAAGCUAGAGUACUGUAGAGGGGGGUAGAAUUUCAGGUGUAGCGGUGAAAUGCGUAGAGAUCUGAAGGAAUACCGGUGGCGAAGGCGGCCCCUGGACAGAUACUGACACUCAGAUGCGAAAGCGUGGGGAGCAAACAGGAUUAGAUACCCUGGUAGGCUCU
This 470-nucleotide ribosomal RNA is filed under the name uncultured bacterium. RNAcentral's name for it is "bacterial SSU rRNA". It matches the Rfam family "Bacterial small subunit ribosomal RNA", at positions 335 to 798 of the family's 1533-position model. The record is from RNAcentral.